This 960-nucleotide ribosomal RNA is filed under the name Clostridioides difficile. Its description in RNAcentral is "bacterial LSU rRNA". It matches the Rfam family "Bacterial large subunit ribosomal RNA", at positions 1329 to 2297 of the family's 2925-position model. The record is from RNAcentral. Lineage: Bacteria; Bacillati; Bacillota; Clostridia; Peptostreptococcales; Peptostreptococcaceae.
CCCACAGGCCGUAAACCCAAGGUUUCCAGGGGAAGGUUCGUCCGCCCUGGGUUAGUCGGGACCUAAGCUGAGGCCGAAAGGCGUAGGUGAUGGACAACAGGUUGAUAUUCCUGUACUACCGAUAACCGUUUGAGAGAAGGGAUGACACAGUAGGAUAAGCUAAGCACACUGGUGGUUAUGUGUGCCCAAGCAUUGAGGCAGUCAAAGUAGGCAAAUCCGCUUUGAUAAUGCUGGGCUGUGAUGGGGAGCGAAAUUUAGUAGCGAAGUAGCUGAUUUCACACUGUCAAGAAAAGUCUCUAUCGAGGUUAAAGGUACCCGUACCGCAAACCGACACAGGUGGGUGAGGAGAGUAUCCUAAGGCCAGCGAGAGAACUGUUGUUAAGGAACUCGGCAAAAUGACCCCGUAACUUAGGGAUAAGGGGUGCCACCAUCAGGUGGCCGCAGAGAAUAGGCCCAAGCGACUUUUUACCAAAAACAUAGGUUUCUGCUAAGUCGCAAGUCGAUGUAUAGCAGCUGACGCCUUCCCGGUUCUGUAAGUUUAAGUGGAUCUGUUCGCGCAAUCGAAGCAGUCAACUUAUGCCCCAGUAAACGGCGGCCGUACCUAUAACUGUCCUAAGUUAGCGAAAUUCCUUGUCGGGUAAGUUCCGACCCGCACUAAAGGUGUAACGAUUUGGGCACUGUCUCAACAACAGACUCGGUGAAAUUGUAAUUCCGGUGAAGAUGCCGGAUACCUGCGACAGGACGGAAAGACCCCAUGGAGCUUUACUGUAGCUUGACAUUGGGUCUUGGUACUACAUGUACAGGAUAGGUGGGAGGCUUUGAAACCAGGACGCCAGUUUUGGCGGAGCCAUCCUUGGGAUACCACCCUUGUAGUACUGGGACUCUAACCAUAGGCCAUGAAUCUGGUCUUGGGACACUGUCAGGUGGGCAGUUUGACUGGGGCGGUCGCCUCCCAAAAGG